This 784-nucleotide non-coding RNA is filed under the name Macdunnoughia hybrida. The record is from RNAcentral. Lineage: Eukaryota; Metazoa; Arthropoda; Insecta; Lepidoptera; Noctuidae.
AAUAAAUUUUUUAUGGUUUAAAAAUUUUAUUAAUAGUUUAAUUUUACAUAUAAAUUUUAGUGUUAUAUUUAGUUUAUUUUAAAAAUAAUUUAUAUUUAAAAGUAGUAAUUUAUAUUAAAUAUUUAAGAAAUUAAGAUUUAGUAAUAUUAAAAUUAAUAACAAAUUUUGUGCCAGCAGUUGCGGUUACACAAAGAUUAAAUUAAAUUUUAUUAGUAAUUAAUAAAUAAUUGAUUAUAAAUAAUAAAAAUUUUAAAUUAUUAGGUGAAAUUUUAAUUUAAUAAAAUAUUAUUUGAAUAAUUAUGAUUUAAUAAAUUUUGAAAAAAACUAGGAUUAGAUACCCUAUUAUUAAAAUUUAAAAUUAAUUUACUAAAAUAGUAAAUAAUUAUUUAUUGAAACUUAAAUAAUUUGGCGGUAUUUUAGUUCAUUUAGAGGAAUCUGUUUAAUAAUUGAUAAUCCACGAAUAAAUUUACUUAAUUUAUUAUUUUGUAUAUCGUUGUUAAAAAAAUAUUUUUUUAAAAAAAUAAUAUUUAAAAAUUUUUAUAAAAAAUUAAUUCAGAUCAAGAUGCAGAUUAUAAUUAAGAAUAUAAUGGAUUACAAUAAAUUUAUUUAUGAUGAAUAUUAAUUUGUAAGAAUAAAUUGAAAGUGGAUUUAAUUGUAAUUUUAUUUAGUUUAAUAAAAUGAUUAAAAAUUAAAAUAUGUACAUAUUGCCCGUCGCUUUCAUAUAUUAAUAAGUUGAAAUAAGUCGUAACAAAGUAGAGGUACUGGAAAGUGUUUCUAGAAAGAA